CUACGGCCACACCUAGGCGAAAACACCAGUUCCCGUCCGAUCACUGCAGUUAAGUGAAAACGUCUGAGGGUCUCGUUCGUUUCGUACUAUGGUUGGAGACAACACGGGAAUCCGGGAUGCUGUAGG
Molecule: ribosomal RNA, 126 nt
Filed under: Schizosaccharomyces osmophilus
Lineage: Eukaryota; Fungi; Ascomycota; Schizosaccharomycetes; Schizosaccharomycetales; Schizosaccharomycetaceae
Source: RNAcentral